UUCUUCUGAUUAUUAGGUCUUUCCACCUUUCCGUGGAAAGACCUAUUGCUUUUCUUCUGAUUAUUAUUAGGUCUUUCCACCUUUCGUGUGGAAAGACCUAUUGAUUUUGUUCUGAUUAUUAAGGUCUUUCCUUUUUCAAAAGGGAAAGACCUUACUGUAUUUCUUCUGUUUAUUAGGUCUUUCCACUUUUCCGUGGAAAGACCUAUUGGUUUUCUUCUGAUUAUUAUUUUUUUUUCUUCCGCCAACUUUUUGUUCCUUCGCUGUUUUUUUGUUUCGCAAGAUGUCGCUUAGACAUAUGGUAUAUGAUAUCGAACAGUUAUUACGCUUUUGUAACUGACACCGCGUAACCAAAAUCUUUUCAGUGUAAGAGUUAUCUCCCCGAACACUGUUUUUCUUGUUAUCGCUUAAUAUUCGCAACCGUAUAAGAAACUGACAAAUUUAUUUUUCCAAAUUGCUCGUUAUAUCCUCAGGAUGAUUUGAUUUAUUUUGACUGAAGCUAUCCGGAUACUCCAUAUGAGAGUUAUUUCCCCUUUUAUAUUUGAUAUAAGUGAUAUGCAUUUUUAACUGGAAAACCAUAAGUGUUAGAGGCCUAGGGUCUUUUGAUUUGAGGUCCUUGGUCCAAAAAAUGAAAAUGAGGUCAAGGUCAAAGGUCAAGGUCAUGAUUAAAUUUUUGAUUUUGGCUUGUUAUCUCUUUUUUUCAGAAAUCUUAUAAGAUAUCGACAAAAUAUUUUCACAUAAUUGUUAGUCGCGACAUGUAGUUACACAUAAAUUUUAGUCGAAAGGGUACGUAAACAUUUGCUGCCAGUUUUUCCCCCUUUUAUAUCUAAUAUCAGUUGUAUGGUAAUAUAACUCAUUAACAAUAUAAAGUAAAGACCUAGAGUCUUUUGAUUUGAGGUCCUUGGUUCAUGACCUUGAAAUUGAGCUCAAGGUCAUAUG
Molecule: long non-coding RNA, 936 nt
Filed under: Mytilus galloprovincialis (Mediterranean mussel)
Lineage: Eukaryota; Metazoa; Mollusca; Bivalvia; Mytilida; Mytilidae
Source: RNAcentral